RNAcentral lists this ribosomal RNA (301 nucleotides) under uncultured bacterium. RNAcentral describes it as "partial 16S ribosomal RNA". It matches the Rfam family "Bacterial small subunit ribosomal RNA", at positions 509 to 807 of the family's 1533-position model. The record is from RNAcentral.
CAGCAGCCGCGGUAAUACGAAGGGGGCUAGCGUUGUUCGGAUUUACUGGGCGUAAAGCGCACGUAGGCGGAUCGAUCAGUCAGGGGUGAAAUCCUGGAGCUCAACUCCAGAACUGCCUUUGGUACUGUCGAUCUCGAGUCCGGAAGAGGUGAGUGGAGCUCCGAGUGUAGAGGUGGAAUUCGUAGAUAUUAGGAAGAACACCAGUGGCGAAGGCGGCUCACUGGUCCGGUACUGACGCUGAGGUGCGAAAGCGUGGGGAGCAAACAGGAUUAGAGACCCCAGUAGUCCCUGUCUCUUAUAC